UCGAGGAUUCGUCCAAGUGAAGCAGAGGACAGUGGCGGACGGGUGAGUAACGCGUGAGGAACCUGCCUUUCAGUGGGGGACAACAGUUGGAAACGACUGCUAAUACCGCAUGAAGCUUUUGGGAGACAUCUCCUGAAAGCCAAAGCUUAAUGUGCUGAAAGAUGGCCUCGCGUCUGAUUAGCUAGUUGGUGGGGUAACGGCCCACCUAGUCUUCGAUGGAUAGGGGUUCUGAGAGGAAGGUCCCCACAUUGGAACUGAGACACGGUCCAAACUCC
This 275-nucleotide ribosomal RNA is filed under the name uncultured bacterium. RNAcentral describes it as "partial 16S ribosomal RNA". It matches the Rfam family "Bacterial small subunit ribosomal RNA", at positions 69 to 339 of the family's 1533-position model. The record is from RNAcentral.